AAGGUCCAACUUCACAUGGCCU
Molecule: microRNA, 22 nt
Filed under: Sarcophilus harrisii (Tasmanian devil)
Lineage: Eukaryota; Metazoa; Chordata; Mammalia; Dasyuromorphia; Dasyuridae
Description: Sha-Mir-2188_5p* (star (passenger))
Source: RNAcentral